ACUCAAGUAAGGAAGCCAGACAAGAUUUGGUCCAAGCUUGUUUCAGUCUGUCUAGCUAUUUACAAGGUGGCAGUGAUUCCCUGCAGCAUGGCUGGCACAGACUAGACAUGGUCUUGGAUCCGGAAUCUUCACCAAAACCCCCGUGUACCUACACCCCGACCAGAAACCUACGGACGGAAGUUACAGGUGCUGCAAACUUAAAAACAGCAAGGGGAGGCCGAGUCAAAGCUCUCUGAAAACGGCAUUUUACUGCCCUUUACCUCCAGUGAAGUUCACAGGACGCCACAGGGCUGCAUUACAGGCAAUACUUAACUAUAAUUACUGUUGUGCAGAAAGAACUCAGGUGCAAGUUAUGGCAUUAACCGCCCAGUCAGUCUGAAAAGUAAUUAGGGCAGAUGUUCAUUAGGAACUUCCUAACGAAUCUGUUAACUUCGUUACCUUCCUCCAAUAAACUUUC
This is a long non-coding RNA of Parus major (Great Tit), 457 nucleotides long. RefSeq lists it as uncharacterized. The record is from RefSeq and is a predicted model, not a curated record. NCBI's taxonomy places the organism in Eukaryota, Metazoa, Chordata, Aves, Passeriformes, Paridae. The transcript is spliced from 2 exons.